This 629-nucleotide ribosomal RNA is filed under the name Salmonella enterica. RNAcentral's name for it is "bacterial SSU rRNA". It matches the Rfam family "Bacterial small subunit ribosomal RNA", at positions 1 to 619 of the family's 1533-position model. Lineage: Bacteria; Pseudomonadati; Pseudomonadota; Gammaproteobacteria; Enterobacterales; Enterobacteriaceae. The record is from RNAcentral.
AAAUUGAAGAGUUUGAUCAUGGCUCAGAUUGAACGCUGGCGGCAGGCCUAACACAUGCAAGUCGAACGGUAACAGGAAGCAGCUUGCUGCUUCGCUGACGAGUGGCGGACGGGUGAGUAAUGUCUGGGAAACUGCCUGAUGGAGGGGGAUAACUACUGGAAACGGUGGCUAAUACCGCAUAACGUCGCAAGACCAAAGAGGGGGACCUUCGGGCCUCUUGCCAUCAGAUGUGCCCAGAUGGGAUUAGCUAGUUGGUGAGGUAACGGCUCACCAAGGCGACGAUCCCUAGCUGGUCUGAGAGGAUGACCAGCCACACUGGAACUGAGACACGGUCCAGACUCCUACGGGAGGCAGCAGUGGGGAAUAUUGCACAAUGGGCGCAAGCCUGAUGCAGCCAUGCCGCGUGUAUGAAGAAGGCCUUCGGGUUGUAAAGUACUUUCAGCGGGGAGGAAGGUGUUGUGGUUAAUAACCGCAGCAAUUGACGUUACCCGCAGAAGAAGCACCGGCUAACUCCGUGCCAGCAGCCGCGGUAAUACGGAGGGUGCAAGCGUUAAUCGGAAUUACUGGGCGUAAAGCGCACGCAGGCGGUCUGUCAAGUCGGAUGUGAAAUCCCCGGGCUCAACCUGGGA